GCGAACGCUGGCGGCAGGCCUAAUACAUGCAAGUCGAGCGCUCGUAGCAAUACGGGAGCGGCAGACGGGUGAGUAACACGUGGGAACGUACCCUUUGGUUCGGAACAACACAGGGAAACUUGUGCUAAUACCGGAUAAGCCCUUACGGGGAAAGAUUUAUCGCCGAAGGAUCGGCCCGCGUCUGAUUAGCUUGUUGGUGAGGUAACGGCUCACCAAGGCUACGAUCAGUAGCUGGUCUGAGAGGAUGAUCAGCCACACUGGGACUGAGACACGGCCCAGACUCCUACGGGAGGCAGCAGUAGGGAAUAUUGGACAAUGGGCGCAAGCCUGAUCCAGCCAUGCCGCGUGAGUGAUGAAGGCCUUAGGGUUGUAAAGCUCUUUCAGCGGGGAAGAUAAUGACGGUACCCGCAGAAGAAGCCCCGGCUAACUUCGUGCCAGCAGCCGCGGUAAU
RNAcentral lists this ribosomal RNA (451 nucleotides) under uncultured bacterium. RNAcentral describes it as "bacterial SSU rRNA". It matches the Rfam family "Bacterial small subunit ribosomal RNA", at positions 29 to 524 of the family's 1533-position model. The record is from RNAcentral.